GCAUGUACUGUGAUGGGAGAUCCUCAGCUAAACUGGGAGAACCAUGAGUCGGGAAAUCUGUGCCCAGCACAGGACUUGAGGUGGUAAGGACGAUAUAAUUAUACAUCUAUCAACCAGGUAAGAGUCUAAACGCAUCCAGGGUGGUAGGUGAUUCUUUCUCAUGUUGGUGUCCUCUAUGCUAAUAGACACAGGCAUGAAACAUGUUAACGGCCUCAUGCAAAGACUUGAGCUCAUAUUUUUGAGGAUUUUAAAUAAUAUUGCAAUAUUAAAGAUAUAAAUAUAUAUAUAUAAUGAAUAAUAAAUACCCCUCCCUUUAAGAAAUAAAACAUUACCAAUAUAGUUGAAGCCUUCUGUUUCCUUCCCUUGAUGGCA
RNAcentral lists this long non-coding RNA (372 nucleotides) under Pan troglodytes (chimpanzee). Its description in RNAcentral is "long non-coding RNA NONPTRT003166". The record is from RNAcentral. Lineage: Eukaryota; Metazoa; Chordata; Mammalia; Primates; Hominidae.